UGUUGUUAGGAUUUCAGUAGUCUAUAUAUCCUGCAAAAAACACUUAUCAGGCAUGAAGGAUUAGUGGCUUAUGUGAAGGCACUGACAGAUAAGAGAUUGCAUUUAAAUGCAGGUAUGUAUAGGACGUUUGUCAAUGUGAUGGCCUUGUUAAGAGUAAUAGUCCCUGCAUGUGUGACUUUAAUAGAAGUAGCAUUUGACAGAUGGACAGGUUUGGGAGAUGCUAUUGGCUUAACAGAAUCAAAAAGCUUUAGAUCACACAUAUGGUUGGUUGCUCUAGUGUCUACAAUCCAAACUCCUCUACUUGCAUCAAUUAAAUUCAAGUUAGAUGACUGACUUGCAAAUUCAAU
RNAcentral lists this long non-coding RNA (347 nucleotides) under Manihot esculenta (cassava). RNAcentral describes it as "long non-coding RNA (MESC_LNC005205)". The record is from RNAcentral. Lineage: Eukaryota; Viridiplantae; Streptophyta; Magnoliopsida; Malpighiales; Euphorbiaceae.